GAAGGAUGGACAGCAUUGUUUUGGGCUGCUUUCAACAAUCACUCAAAUGCCGUUCGUCUCCUGUUAGAGCAUGGAUCUGAUAUCAGUGUACUAGACAACAAAGGAAGAACGGCACUGCAAUUGUGUGUGAAACGUGACAACAAAGAUGCUACAGAUGCCAUUACAUCAUUUGUGCAGAGAAGAAAGUCCGUAAUUCAUUUGGCUGAAAAAAUUAAGGAAAAAGAUCCUGCGGAUGUCAUAAAGCUGCUUGAGGUAAUGUGUG
Long non-coding RNA from Corticium candelabrum, 262 nucleotides. RefSeq lists it as uncharacterized. The transcript has 3 exons. The record is from RefSeq and is a predicted model, not a curated record. NCBI's taxonomy places the organism in Eukaryota, Metazoa, Porifera, Homoscleromorpha, Homosclerophorida, Plakinidae.